CACGUAGGCACCAAGCGUUGUCCGGAAUUUAUUGGGCGUAAAGAGCUCGUAGGCGGUUGAGUAAGUCGGGUGUGAAAACUCUGGGCUUAACCCAGAGCCGCCACCCGAUACUGCUCUGACUUGAGUUCGGUAGGGGAGCAGGGGAAUUCCUAGUGGUAGCGGUGAAAUGCGCAGAUAUUAGGAGGAACACCGGUGGACGAAGGCGCUGCUCUGGGCCCGAUACGUGACGCUGAGGAGCGAAAGCCGAGGGGAGCGUAGAGGAAA
This 264-nucleotide ribosomal RNA is filed under the name uncultured bacterium. RNAcentral describes it as "partial 16S ribosomal RNA". It matches the Rfam family "Bacterial small subunit ribosomal RNA", at positions 524 to 779 of the family's 1533-position model. The record is from RNAcentral.